RNAcentral lists this transfer RNA (75 nucleotides) under Nanobdellota archaeon. Its description in RNAcentral is "tRNA-Arg". It matches the Rfam family "tRNA". Rfam says of the family: Transfer RNA (tRNA) molecules are approximately 80 nucleotides in length. The record is from RNAcentral. Lineage: Archaea; Nanobdellati; Nanobdellota. RNAcentral also lists the same sequence under 1 other name.
GCUCCCGUAGCUCAGCCUGGAUAGAGCACCUGCCUUCUAAGCAGGGGGUCGUAGGUUCAAAUCCUAUCGGGAGCG